AACGAACGCUGGCGGCAUGCCUAACACAUGCGAGUCGAACGAGACCUUCGGGUCUAGUGGCGCACGGGUGCGUAACGCGUGGGAACCUGCCCUUAGGUUCGGAAUAACUCCCCGAAAGGGGUGCUAAUACCGGAUAAUGUCUUCGGACCAAAGAUUUAUCGCCUUUGGAUGGGCCCGCGUUGGAUUAGCUAGUUGGUGGGGUAAAAGCCUACCAAGGCGACGAUCCAUAGCUGGUCUGAGAGGAUGAUCAGCCACACUGGGACUGAGACACGGCCCAGACUCCUACGGGAGGCAGCAGUGGGGAAUAUUGGACAAUGGGCGAAAGCCUGAUCCAGCAAUGCCGCGUGAGUGAUGAAGGCCUUAGGGUUGUAAAGCUCUUUUACCCGGGAUGAUAAUGACAGUACCGGGAGAAUAAGCUCCGGCUAACUCCGUG
RNAcentral lists this ribosomal RNA (433 nucleotides) under uncultured bacterium. Its description in RNAcentral is "partial 16S ribosomal RNA". It matches the Rfam family "Bacterial small subunit ribosomal RNA", at positions 29 to 507 of the family's 1533-position model. The record is from RNAcentral.